UACGUAGGGUGCAAGCGUUGUCCGGAAUUAUUGGGCGUAAAGAGCUCGUAGGCGGUCUGUCGCGUCUGCUGUGAAAACUCAGGGCUUAACCCUGAGCUUGCGGUCGAUACGGGCAUGACUGGAGUUCGGCAGGGGAGACUGGAAUUCCUGGUGUAGCGGUGAAAUGCGCAGAUAUCAGGAGGAACACCGGUGGCGAAGGCGGGUCUCUGGGCCGAUACUGACGCUGGAGGAGCGAAAGCGUGGGGAGCGAACAGG
This 255-nucleotide ribosomal RNA is filed under the name uncultured bacterium. RNAcentral's name for it is "partial 16S ribosomal RNA". It matches the Rfam family "Bacterial small subunit ribosomal RNA", at positions 524 to 776 of the family's 1533-position model. The record is from RNAcentral.